GACAGAGGGUGCAAACGUUGUUCGGAAUUACUGGGCGUAAAGCGAGUGUAGGCGGUUCGAUAAGUCGGAUGUGAAAGCCCCGGGCUCAACCCGGGAAGUGCACUCGAUACUGUCGAGCUAGAGUAUCGGAGAGGUUGGUGGAAUUCUCGGUGUAGAGGUGAAAUUCGUAGAUAUCAAGAGGAACACCUGAGGUGAAGACGGGUUGCUGGGCCAACACUGACGCUGAGGCGCGAAAGCCAGGGGAGCAAACGGG
Molecule: ribosomal RNA, 253 nt
Filed under: uncultured bacterium
Lineage: Bacteria
Description: partial 16S ribosomal RNA
Rfam family: Bacterial small subunit ribosomal RNA
Source: RNAcentral